GUUGGUGUUCAGCGGGCAGAUACUUUUUUCUGCCACCAGAAUACAUUAGCAUGGGAUAAUGGAAUAGGACCCUGACCUCCGAUUUUGAGUGGGUUUUAAACUCAACUUCAAGGUUGGUAUCAGAUCUGGGCCAAAUGGCAUUUUGUUUAUUUUUCUUACGAAAAUUCUUUUUUUUAUUAAAAAAAAACUUCUGCGAAAAAAUUUCCCGGAUGUUUUUUUAUUUAAAAACAAAAUUGGGGGAUAAAAACAAAAAAUUCCCCCCCGUCUAACCUUAUCUAUCUGACCCCUAAU
RNAcentral lists this ribosomal RNA (291 nucleotides) under Acanthamoeba genotype T5. Its description in RNAcentral is "partial 18S rRNA". The record is from RNAcentral. Lineage: Eukaryota; Discosea; Longamoebia; Acanthamoebidae.